This is a long non-coding RNA of Sarcophilus harrisii (Tasmanian devil), 515 nucleotides long. RefSeq lists it as uncharacterized. The transcript has 3 exons. The record is from RefSeq and is a predicted model, not a curated record. Lineage: Eukaryota; Metazoa; Chordata; Mammalia; Dasyuromorphia; Dasyuridae.
CAUCAAAGCUAAGCUAACUCAAAUUCUCUUUAUCAUUACAAUUUACUAUCUCACUUCUUGCAAGUUCCAUUCUAUUCUGUCACAGGCCAUCUUUGGGCUGUCAAGUCACAAAGAUGAAAAGAUUGCCCAGGCAACAACCAGCUGUGGCAAUGGCAGUGAGUGCUCUAGGUACUCAGAAUUCACCUUGCUGGCUGGUUAAGAUGCUGCCAAGAAGUAAUUGUGACAGCAAACAGAAAAUGGCAAUCAGAAAAAAAGAAAAAAUGAGGUUCGAAACUCCUCAAUUGAUUAUAUGUCUAUCAGAAUCAUCUGAGUCAAAAGGACAAAGAGAUGCUGGGCAAGAAAAGAGGUGCUCAUUGGUAACAGAUUAAGUGAGGACUAAGCGUGUAUACAAUAAGGGAAGAACAUAUGCUGAGAGACAACCAAAAGCAGAGAAAAAUCACUUCAUCUAAGCUAUCCAAUUAUUAAGGACCGCUUGAUUUCUUUUCAGAUGUCAAAUAAAAUUCCAUCAAAUGUGU